Molecule: non-coding RNA, 239 nt
Organism: Caenorhabditis elegans
Lineage: Eukaryota; Metazoa; Nematoda; Chromadorea; Rhabditida; Rhabditidae
Source: Ensembl
AAGGGCGGAGCACGAUAAUGAUGAACAGUGCAGGUGGUGGUGGGAUGGAGCCGCGCGCGCCGCCGGAAAAAUCUAGGUUAAUCGGAACAGAUGAAGACGAAAAAUGAAUGUGAAAACGGGAUCGGGGGGGGGGGGGGGAGCGAGGACCACCGACGUGUCCUUUGACAAAAAACCCUUCUGAGCGGACCUCUAGCGGACCCAGGUGGUUGAAAAAUACUAUUGUCAAAAAGCGACGCGUU